AGUGAACGCUGGCGGUAGGCCUAACACAUGCAAGUCGAACGGCAGCACAGUAAGAGCUUGCUCUUACGGGUGGCGAGUGGCGGACGGGUGAGGAAUACAUCGGAAUCUACUUUUUCGUGGGGGAUAACGUAGGGAAACUUACGCUAAUACCGCAUACGACCUACGGGUGAAAGCAGGGGAUCUUCGGACCUUGCGCGAUUGAAUGAGCCGAUGUCGGAUUAGCUAGUUGGCGGGGUAAAGGCCCACCAAGGCGACGAUCCGUAGCUGGUCUGAGAGGAUGAUCAGCCACACUGGAACUGAGACACGGUCCAGACUCCUACGGGAGGCAGCAGUGGGGAAUAUUGGACAAUGGGCGCAAGCCUGAUCCAGCCAUACCGCGUGUGUGAAGAAGGCCUUCGGGUUGUAAAGCCCUUUUGUUGGUAAAGAAAAGCAGCAGGUUAAUACCCCGCUGUUCUGACGGUACCCAAAGAAUAAGCACCGGCUAACUUCGUG
Molecule: ribosomal RNA, 492 nt
Filed under: uncultured bacterium
Lineage: Bacteria
Description: partial 16S ribosomal RNA
Rfam family: Bacterial small subunit ribosomal RNA
Source: RNAcentral